UACGGAGGGUGCAAGCAUUAAUCGGAUUUAUUGGGCGUAAAGGGCGCGUAGGCGGUUAGAAAAGUCAGAUGUGAAAUCCUGGGGCUCAACCUCAGAACAGCAUUUGAAACUGUCUUUCUAGAGGGUAGGGGGAGAAAACGGAAUUCCACAAGUAGCGGUGAAAUGCGUAGAUAUGUGGAAGAACACCGGUGGCGAAGGCGGCAUCCUGGACCGACACUGACGCUGAGGCACGAAGGUCAGGGGAGCAAACGGG
RNAcentral lists this ribosomal RNA (253 nucleotides) under uncultured bacterium. RNAcentral describes it as "partial 16S ribosomal RNA". It matches the Rfam family "Bacterial small subunit ribosomal RNA", at positions 524 to 776 of the family's 1533-position model. The record is from RNAcentral.